RNAcentral lists this ribosomal RNA (265 nucleotides) under uncultured bacterium. RNAcentral's name for it is "partial 16S ribosomal RNA". It matches the Rfam family "Bacterial small subunit ribosomal RNA", at positions 1237 to 1500 of the family's 1533-position model. The record is from RNAcentral.
UAACAAGGAGAAGCGAAACUGCGAAGUGGAGCAAAACUCUAAAAAAACAAUCUCAGUUCAGAUUGCAGGCUGCAACUCGCCUGCAUGAAGUCGGAAUUGCUAGUAAUCGUAGGUCAGCAUACUACGGUGAAUACGUUCCCGGGCCUUGUACACACCGCCCGUCAAACCAUGAGAGUUGGCAACACCCGAAGUCGGUAGUCUAACCGCAAGGAGGACGCCGCCGAAGGUGGGGUUGAUGAUUAGGGUUAAGUCGUAACAAGGUACC